This 478-nucleotide ribosomal RNA is filed under the name uncultured bacterium. Its description in RNAcentral is "partial 16S ribosomal RNA". It matches the Rfam family "Bacterial small subunit ribosomal RNA", at positions 28 to 507 of the family's 1533-position model. The record is from RNAcentral.
GAUGAACGCUAGCGGCAGGCCUAACACAUGCAAGUCGAGGGAGAAGCCCUUUCGGGGGCAGAAACCGGCGCACGGGUGCGUAACGCGUAUGCAACCUACCUUUCACAGGGGGAUAGCCCGAAGAAAUUUGGAUUAAUACCCCAUAAUAUUAUUGGAUGGCAUCAUUUGAUAAUUAAAACUGCGGCGGUGAAAGAUGGGCAUGCGUCCUAUUAGCUAGUUGGAGUGGUAACGGCACCCCAAGGCUACGAUAGGUAGGGGUCCUGAGAGGGAGAUCCCCCACACGGGUACUGAGACAGGGACCAGACUCCUACGGGAGGCAGCAGUGAGGAAUAUUGGUCAAUGGUCGGGAGACUGAACCAGCCAUGCCGCGUGCAGGAAGAAUGCCUUAUGGGUUGUAAACUGCUUUUAGAUGGGAAGAAUAAGGCGUACGUGUACGUUGAUGACGGUACCAUAUGAAUAAGCAUCGGCUAACUCCGUG